AAAUGCCUCAACAAGAACAGGCAACGCUCUGCCGCACAAUAAAGGAAGCCCAAGCUCGCAGUUAACUCAUCGUGUGCCGGGGUAGACGGCUGUACUCCUUCACACAAAUCCUGUGGCCACUUGGCUCGUUUGGGUGAAGUGCUUGAGAAGGUGGAGUCAGUGGAAACCACAGCUGGCAUGUUCUGCCUAUCAAGCCACAUGCUGAGUGUUUUGAAGGCGGCAGGACCCAAGGAACGACCAUGACAUGGCUGCCAGGACAGAGUUAUUAUGAUUUCCAGCACCUGGAGCUAUUAGAUUUAAGUAAUGUUUCUAAACCUGCAGGCAAGAUGCAAGUGAGCAUUGAGGGGAGGAUGCAAGGAAGUUUCAAAGUCUUUGAGGUUUUCUCAUCGAUUUGCAAGACCGGCGAUUCCUUGACAUCACUGGUCACCGCGGGGAAAACAAUGGCAACAUUCUAGAAUUGCUGCGGUCCGCCAAUCAUUCUUUACGGGAUUUCUGAAGCAACCAAAUGACAUGUUCAGCAACUUUGGAGGGAAGUGAAUGGUCCAGGGCAGCAGAGUCACAUGGAGCCCAAGUCGAUACAAUGAGUAUUACAUUGUCAUCCUUCAGCAUGCUGCUUGCCAAGUUCCAUCUUUAUGUCAAACCAAAAUCGUGCUGGUAAAUAACAGUAAUGGGAAAACAACAAUCCUUCUCCUUCCCUCAAUGCAAACUCUAACCACUGACAACUGACACUGACAAUGUAUUGUGAUGACAGACAACCCAUGAGAGGAGUUGACUGGGAGUCUACCUGAGUCCCGGUGCGGACACCCGGCUGGCGAACUGUCAGGAGCUGGAGAUGAAAGUCGCCACGCGGCUGGGGCACUGGGCGGGUCCCCCCGUCAGAGUGCUUUCCUACAGGGUGUAAGACUGUCAAUGUUUGUUUUUAUUUAUCAAUUUUUUUCCUUCUAAACUUAUUUGGCAGAGUGGAGAAUGUCAGUUUUUCUGCCUAUGUAAUGUGUAGCAAGAUAUAACCUCCAUCCAAGUCUGAGGAUUACUCACUUGUUGCAAGUUCAAACCAAUAUAGCAACUAAAACAACUGGUUGAUUUCCAUUUUUUGUUGUAAAUUUUUAUGUAAACUUUCCUGCAGGUUUUUAACCGACUCGUGGCCUCCAUGCUUUUGUACAGAUUAGCCACAUUGGUCCCAUCGGCCAUCUUUGCUGGGAUCAUUUUUUAAUAAUUGAAUAAUUCUUUUGAGGAAUUGAGGAGUUCCUGGCACACAGAAGCAGACUUUAUGGUCAUUGGUCAUGAAAAGGCUGAGGAGCAGCUGUGAGACAACAUCCAGGCUGCACAAAUAACAGCAGCAGUCAAUAUGGGACGGAGAAAGAAGUGUAAUGAAGUAUAUCUCAAUGGCAAGGUGAAGCCUGUCGAAUACAACGCAAGACAGAAUGUUAUGAGGAUUUAUCAGCCAGGUACCUCAAAUAUUCUGGACUCCAUUCUGUAGUGGAUAAAGCAAGCCCCUCAGUGUGCAAGGUUGUAUUGCAGGGACGGUAUUAUGUGAAUCAAGGGAAUCAAGUGAAAGAGGGAUGGUAUCGUGUGAAUCAAUUAAAAUCAUUCAUUGAUGUUAAUCCUAUAGAGUAAUCACCAGUACCACAUCCUGCUGGGUGCUGCCUGUGAGACAUUGUCCGCAUCUGCCGUCCAUUCACCACGGCCACACGUACCCCAAGUGGAACAAACUAGGGAGAAUGGCCACACAUCCCCAUCACACAAGCUGCCCACAGAAGGCAAUGUGCAAGAAGUAUUAGAAUAUUGUCUCAUUAGCCCAUUCCAAGAACUGUAAAUACAAGCAGAAAGUGCUCUUGCUUUACAGAUAAAUGAUGUUGUGGUGAUAACACAUGGGAUGCUGGUCAGGGGCGGAACAGCUUGAUGUCGGACUGAUAUAUAAUUUAACCCAGGUGUUGCGUCUCGGAGGCAGAACCAUUCUGGCCUACUCUGGUGCAGAUACACUAUGUGGCAAAUGCACUAAUGAAGACACAAUCCAACGUGUGAAAAAUCGAAAGUUAGGUCAGCGAUGGUGGAGAGAAGGUUGGAAUCACAAUUGUAGGAUCACAUUGUGGACAGGGAAACACCAAUAUAGCUGUUGUUUCCUUUAUCGGGUACUUCUGGCCCUGGCAUAAUGGGCCUGCCCAUGGUACAGAAAAUGGUAUGGGGUAUGCAGAGCUACCAUGAAGACUGGGACACCCAAUAGGCAAGUGGAUGGCUGUUUUAUGUUUCCCCUCUCAACCCCAGCUGAACCUUCAGCCAUCCCACCUGCCUCUUCAAUCACCCCUGCUAACCUCAAAAUAUGUCCCAAUACAAAAGAUGGACCACAACAUAGGUUGAUCUUGAAAGGAGCAGGUAAAGUCCUAUACGACAACAUACAUCACAAACUGGUACCCACUGUGUUGGAUAUCACAGGUAGACAGUUACCUGAAUGACUGGUGUCCAAUUCCAAUCCGAGAUAUAUAUAUAUAUUCCAAUGAUACAAACAUUGCUUGAGCAAGAAGUGGGGAAGAACAAAAAGAGGGAGCUUAAAGCUAAGGCCCAUAUGAGGAGAGGUAUAAUUAAUGAUGUAGGCACAGUCUACAGUGCUGGAAUGUCCACUGUCAAUGCCCUUGAUCUGGAAAAUCAAGAUGAGAGACUUAACUCAGCAAGUCAAACAAGUUCUGGCAAGGGUGAAAGUCCUGGACAGCCAUGCAAUAAAUAAUGAAUGCAUAACUGGACCGUGUGUAGUGUCGAUGGGAGUUGGAUGCAAGAACAACUGAGAGAAAAUCUUGCGCAGGUUGGCCAGGAAAGAGUGCCAGUGAAUAGGCUUGUAUUCACUGGAAUUUAGGAUGAGAGGGGAUCUUAUAGAAUCAUAAUAUUAUUAAGGGAUUGGACAUGAUAGAUGCAGGAAAAAUGGUUCCGAUAUUAGAAGAGUCCAGAACAGGGGCCACAGUUUAAGAAUAAGGGGUAGGCCAUUCAGAAUCGAGAUGAUGAAAAACCUUUUCACCCAGAGAGUUGUGAAUUUGUGGAAUUCUCUGCCUCAGAAGGCAGUGGAUGCAUUCAGUACAGAGUUAGAGAGAGCUCUUAGGACAAGCGGAAUCAAGGGAUAUGGGGAGAAGGCAGGAACGGGGUCCUGAUUGUGGAUGAUCAGCCAUGAACACAUUGCAUGGUGGUGCUGGCUCGUAGACGCCCGGCCGAUUCCGAGUUAUGCGGGGGGGGGGGGGGUUUAUGUAACUCACAGUUUCUGCGCAUUGAAAACUCUGCGCAGCUGGCCGCGAUGAGCACAGAGGCACUCGUGACGUCAUCCAGCUUGCUUCAGCUCGUUAACUUCAAAAAAGAUCGCAGAUUGGUGAACAAUUUCCGUAAAAAAUCGGGAAAUAAAGAAUCCAAUUUUCACAUGAGGCAAUUUUCGACAUCAUGAGGUAAAUCUCUACCAGAAUAUGUAAAAAUUUCACCAUUAGCGCGUCGGGUUUUCUAGAAGAUGUGAUUCACAAGCAAACAAAUAAACAUCCAAGAUCAGAGUUUUAUAAUAAUACUCGCCUAAGUGGGACCCGUUGGGAGGGCUGGUCCCUCAACGCAAUAUUUCACCUCUCCACCAAUUCCAAUAUUGGUGGCCAGUGGGGGGG
Leucoraja erinaceus (little skate) is the source of this 3623-nucleotide long non-coding RNA. RefSeq lists it as uncharacterized. NCBI's taxonomy places the organism in Eukaryota, Metazoa, Chordata, Chondrichthyes, Rajiformes, Rajidae. The record is from RefSeq and is a predicted model, not a curated record. The transcript has 3 exons.